CGCUCUUUGAUAUUGUGGAUAAAGAGUCGAGCCUGCCCAGUGAUAUAUAUUUAACGGCCGCGGUACUCUGACUGUGCAAAGGUAGCAUAAUCAUUUGCCUCAUAAUUGGGGGCUUGUAUGAAGGGUUUGACGAAAACAAUACUGUCUCUUUUUAAUUUUAUAAAAUUUGAUUUUUAGGUGAAGAAGCCUAAAUAAAAUUGAAAGACAAGAAGACCCUAUCGAGCUUGAAAAAAAUCUAUUAAAUUAAAUGGUAAAAUCAAAUGUAUUAGAAAAUUUUAGUUGGGGCGACUUAGGAACAUAUAAAGCUUCCUAUUUUUAGUAUUAAGCAUAUUAGCUAUGAUCCAAAAUUUUUGAUUAAAAAAUUUAGUUACCGUAGGGAUAACAGCAUAAUCUUUUUUGAGAGUUCUUAUCGAAAAAUAGGUUUGUGACCUCGAUGUUGGACUAGAAUAUCCUAAAUGAUGCAAAAGUCUUUAAGGGUUGGUCUGUUCGACCAUUAAUAUUCUACGUGAUCUGAGUUCAGACCGG
RNAcentral lists this ribosomal RNA (525 nucleotides) under Sulawesidrobia soedjatmokoi. RNAcentral describes it as "partial 16S ribosomal RNA". It matches the Rfam family "Bacterial large subunit ribosomal RNA", at positions 1817 to 2619 of the family's 2925-position model. Lineage: Eukaryota; Metazoa; Mollusca; Gastropoda; Littorinimorpha; Tateidae. The record is from RNAcentral.